AUGGUGUGCCAGUUGUUCCGCCAGGGGCAUUGCUGGGUAGCUAAGUCUGGUUGGGAUAAGCGCUGAAAGCAUCUAAGUGCGAAGCCCAUCCCAAGAUUAUAUCUCCCAUCCCGGUGAUUUAUCAUCGGGAGUAAGACCGCAAGUAGACUACUUGUUUGAUAGGCGGUGAGUGUAAGAGCAGUAAUGUUUUGAGCUAAACCGUACUAAUGGUCGAGGGCUUGGCCUG
Molecule: ribosomal RNA, 226 nt
Filed under: Clostridia bacterium
Lineage: Bacteria; Bacillati; Bacillota; Clostridia
Description: partial 23S ribosomal RNA
Rfam family: Bacterial large subunit ribosomal RNA
Source: RNAcentral